RNAcentral lists this ribosomal RNA (856 nucleotides) under epibiont metagenome. Its description in RNAcentral is "bacterial SSU rRNA". It matches the Rfam family "Bacterial small subunit ribosomal RNA", at positions 377 to 1245 of the family's 1533-position model. The record is from RNAcentral.
GAUUCGUCGAUGCAGCACGCCGCGUGGAGGAAGAAGCAUUUAGGUGUGUAAACUCCUUUUAUCAAGGAAGAAGAUGACGGUACUUGAUGAAUAAGCACCGGCUAACUCCGUGCCAGCAGCCGCGGUAAUACGGAGGGUGCAAGCGUUACUCGGAAUCACUGGGCGUAAAGCGCAUGUAGGCGGUUGUUUAAGUUAGAAGUGAAAGCCUACGGCUCAACCGUGGAACAGCUUCUAAAACUGAAUAACUAGAGUCUGGGAGAGGAAGAUGGAAUUAGUAGUGUAGGGGUAAAAUCCGUAGAGAUUACUAGGAAUACCGAAAGCGAAGGCGAUCUUCUGGAACAGGACUGACGCUGAGAUGCGAAAGCGUGGGGAGCAAACAGGAUUAGAUACCCUGGUAGUCCACGCCCUAAACGAUGAAUGUUAGUCGUUGGAGUGCUAGCCACUUCAGUGAUGCAGCUAACGCAUUAAACAUUCCGCCUGGGGAGUACGGCCGCAAGGUUAAAACUCAAAGGAAUAGACGGGGACCCGCACAAGUGGUGGAGCAUGUGGUUUAAUUCGAAGAUACGCGAAGAACCUUACCUGGCCUUGACAUAUACCAGAAUCUACCAGAGAUGGUGGAGUGCUUCGGGAGCUGGUAUACAGGUGCUGCACGGCUUGUCGUCAGCUCGUGUCGUGAGAUGUUGGGUUAAGUUCCCCGCAACGAGCGCAACCCUCGUGACUAGGUUACUAACAGGCAUUAAGCUGAGGACUCUUAGUCAGACUGCUUUCCGUAAAGAGGAGGAAGGGGAGGCCAACUCAAUCUUCCUUGGGCCUUAAGGGCCGGGGGAACCCGUGGUCCCACGGGGGGGGGCCGAAG